Molecule: long non-coding RNA, 28830 nt
Filed under: Lathyrus oleraceus (garden pea)
Lineage: Eukaryota; Viridiplantae; Streptophyta; Magnoliopsida; Fabales; Fabaceae
Description: Pisum sativum (pea) long non-coding RNA (PSAT_LNC039448)
Source: RNAcentral
CCAAAUAGUCAACUGUGCAGUCAACUGAGGACUUUGAGGUUGGGGAGAUGAACUUAAAUACCUCAAUCAUGUUCAAACAAAGUCCAUUUGUCAUUCUAAACAUCUAUCUUGAAGAUUUUGAAGUCGUGGCAAAAGUUUCCAAAAAUGGAAAGUGACCUGUAAUUUCAAGUUUCCAAAAAUGGCAAGUUUCUGGUCCACAUUCAACUUGACUUAUCAACAUCAAAGAAGCUUCAAAUGGAUUUUUCGUGAGCAUGAAAGUUGAAGAUCUUUGUCUCCCCUUUCCAAAAAGUCAUAUUUCAUGUUCAUAUGAUGAUUGGUUGAGAAGUUAUGGCCAAAUUAUCACAAGGUGUGCAUGGAAGUUCAAAGUGACAUAACUUUUGAUUCAAAACUCCAAUUUGGUCCAUUCUUUUUGCAAAAUACUCCUCAUGACCAAUACUUCUCAAAACAAGCCUUGCCAUGCAUGGAAAAAGUGUGAAUACUCAUUAUUUUCCACAUGUUCAUUUUGGAGGGAAUUUCCAUAAUUCAAAAUUGGCUUAUGAUACAAGCAAGACAACCAUUCCAUCAUGACCAUUGGAUGAUUUUAAGUAAAUUUGAAGCUCAGCAUGGGAUUCUCACGUGUUGCAUGGACAUGUUGGUUCAUUUUGCAAUUUUUGCAAUUCACUCCAUAUUUCCCUAAUCAUGAUUAACCAAUGCCUAUUUGGUUUUCAGUGUCAUUAGCACAUCAUAUAAAUACAAAACCCUAAUCUCAUUUGCCACAAUAACAGAAUUUCAGAUCUAGAAUUUUCCAUUUUCCCUCCAAAAUUCUCUCACUUCGAUUUUCUUUUUUCUUCACACAAACACUAAAUCUCUUUGCAUAUUCUUGCUCCUGGUGUAAUUCUGAGCAAGAAUCAUCAUCUGGAUUGGACAAUUGAGCUAGGUUUCGUGCAGAUUCAAGUGCAUCUUCAUGGAAAUGGAAGUUUGAAAUUGAGCUAGAUCCAGUUGGUUUCAGUGGAUUCUUUGUGCACAAAGCUUCAAGGCAAGGUUAAAGAAGAAGAUCUGGAGAUUUUGAGAGCCUGAGGACACGAUUUCAGAGAACUUCAUUUCAAGUAAGUUGAAAAUCGAUCCUCUCCUUUUGCUAUUUUCUUGUUAUAGUUGUGUAGAUCUCACUUAGCUGAGCAUGCUGGUAUGAUUAGAUUUGAUUUUGGCUUAGAAUUGAGGUUGUAUGAUGAACUUAAAGUUUUUAUGUCAAAAAUGUUUUUGCUCGAUCUGUAAAAUUCAUGAUGAUUUAGGAUUAGAUGAUUUGAUAUUUGGAAUGUGUGUUGAAAGAGCUUUCGAAUGGUGUAUCAUUUGUCCAAUUCUGAAAAAUUUGGUCGUGACUCCGCCGGAAUCUCACCGGGGAAGACGACUGGAGCUACAGCUCCGGUGUCUAGUAAUCCUAGGGUUUAUGUCCAUGUGGCUGUUGACUAUGCGCUUGUGUGUUCAUUUCAUUGGUUGUGGAUGCUUUGACCGUGCCAUGCGUGCAAUUGACUGAUGAUGUGUGCGCUGAAUCACUUAAGUGAAACGCAUCGUUUCAUUUAUUCCAUGUGCCUGCUGAUUGUAUUGCUUGCAUGUACACUUGAUUGGUUGUGAAUGUUUUGACUCUGCUUGCGUGUGCAUUGACUGAUGACUGUGUUAAGUGAAGCGCUGUGUUUUGCUUGUUUAAAUGUGAUCCGUUGAUGUGGAUUUCGCGCUUAAUUCAAAUAUUUGUUUUCCCUCCAUUUUAUUUUGUUAUUUCAUAUUAUUUCAUUCAUCUUUAAAAAAUCAUAAAAAAGUUGAAAAAUACUCCAAAUUAACUCCAAUUUUUUUUCAUAGCUUUGUUUUAAUGUCUAGUUUUUUAUGAUAUUAUUUUCAUGAAUUGUUGAUUGCUGGAUUUUUAAUUGUGAAUUUUUGAUUCAACCUUAGGUUAAUUUGAUCAUUUGCAUUAAAUGCUUUGUGAAAUGCUAUGUGUUGAUCCAAUUGAUCUGAAUUUUUGCAUGCUUGAUCUUCACAUAUGAUAUGAAUUUUUGAGCACUGGUUUGGAUUUUUUCUCAUUUGCUAUCAUUGUUUUUGACACAUAAAGAUAUGGUGUGACAAUUUGUGUCACAUUUUUGACCUUGCAUUUGUGCAUUUUUGUUCACCUAUCAUUUGACCUCUUCUGGAUCUGAUAUUUUUCACAUUGUUUGUUCAUAAUAUGAGAAACUUGCAUAAAAAAUCUCAAGGCCAUUAGAUGCAUUUCUGUUUUGAUUUGGAUUUUCUAAUUUGGAAGUUCACUUUGUGCACCUUUGCUUGCCUUUGCUUUACAUUGAUCAUUUGAGCUACUUGCUUUGUGAAUUGAUGUUGGUCCUUUCGAGGACAUUUUAUUGAAUGUUUGAAUGUGCAAUAUGUGAAAGAUUGACUUCUGUUUUGAUCAUUUGGUUUGGUUUUGAACUUGGUCUUUGUACUAGUGUUUUGUACAUGAACUAACCUUGUCUUGUGUUUCAGGUUUGGACACUUAGCAUUAAUGGUUGAGUUGCUCACCUUUUGAGAUGAAAAUUGGAUUGUGUUAUGACUUCUUUGUGUUUUGUAGGGAUUUAAGUUGAUGUGUUGAGCUCAUUGCUUCAUUUGAUUGCUUGACCAUUGCUCAUUGAAUUGUGUAACAGUUGGAUGGUUUCACUGUUUGUUUUCUGAUUGGUUGUCUGAGAUAUUAACUGUUUAGCUUUUGUACAGGUACAUUAGUUGCUUGCUUUUAGCUCUUGCUUGAGCUUUGGAUUAUGGUUGAUACACCACGUAGGUAGUUAUCCUCUUACUCCAUGUAGUCUGGAAGUCCUGUCACCUUUUUGGCAGGCAUUUUGCUGGCAAGUCCUCCUUAAGAGGCUCUGUUUGUGUUUGUUUACAGAUUGUGCCAAAGACCUCCAACCUUUUUGGCAGGCAUUUUGCUGGCAAGUCCUCCUUAAGAGGCUCUGUUUGUGUUUGUUUACAGAUUGUGCCAAAGACCUCCAAGAUGAGGCAUGUGUUACUUGAUAAGUCCUCCUAAGUGAAGAGGAAAUUGACGGAUAAAAGGGAUUAGUAGCCAAUCCCCCAUUAUUCAGUGAGUCGUUCAUUAUGCUCGCACUACGUGCUGAUGCUCUUGAACAUGAACCCAAAAUCUUUGUCCAGUGUCUGUCAAGUGGAAUAGGAUCCCACUUUCUGGAUCCCCACGCUUUCUCUAUCAUGAGCUCACCCCGGCCAGGGUUAAGAGCAUGAGGUCUCAUCCUCAUUACCAUCUUUGAUUAGCUUCACCCUAACUCUCAAUGUUAGUGGUUAAGAGCUACAAACUACCCUUGUACAGUCUGGCUUGUUUGUCGAGGUUGAUAUGACCCCUCUUGACUAAAGCCUACCCUUUUGUUUGAGCCUCUUGUAUGUAUAUAGUGUGUGAUGAUUGUUUGAUUGUGAACUUUUGAUGUGUUUGCUUUUGAUGUUUGUUUGUUGUUUGGAGUCGGAUAUAAGUCCAUACAUUGGCAUUCUGUUUCCGUUUUGUUGUUUGGAGUCGGAUCUAAGUCCAUAUAUUGGCAUUCUGUUUCUGUUUUGUUGACAGGAGUCGGGUGUAAGUCCAUAUAUUGGCAUCUUGUUUCCUUUCAUUUGAGGAUCUCUUAUGAGACUUGCUUAUGCUUUGUGCUUGCUUAUUCCAAAGGAAUCUACUUGGAUCAUCUACAUAUGAUCUCAAGAGAGGAACUCCUAAUGUGGUUUUAUCCCUUACCUCUCACCCCUUUUGUUCUCUUUAGGACUUAACCCUUCUCCAUCCUAACCCAAACCAAAAACUAUUUGUGCAAACAUUUGACUUUGUUUUCAACAUUAGAAACCUAAGCCUUAGGCUUUUGAUUUUUAAACUUUUUUUUCUUAAUACUCAUUUUGAAUUGAAUCUUUAAGUCAACUUUGACCAUUUUUGUACACACUCCUAAUUGGUAAAUAUAACCCAUUCAAAUGUGCUUCUUUUGUUGUUUCAAUGAUCACUUCUUAAUCAAAUUUUUCAUAACCUUUUGCUAUUAGGUUUGAGUUAUCUUUGUGGUAGAUGUAAUACUCACCUUUGUCCUUAGUGAUGGACAAUGAGCCUUCCAUACUUAUUAUAGGGUUAACCCCUCACUAGCAUGUUGAAGCUAUCCUCACAUGGUGGACUUGUGGUUUUUCAGGUUGAGUUUUCUCCCUUUGAUAACAAAAGACCUUAAGGAUUUUGGACCAAUCAAUCCACUCAUUUGUUUUGAAAUUUUUUACCCGAACUACGAGGUUUUGAUCCUAAUCUUUUCUUAAGAGGGUACGUAGACAAUGGGUUUAUCCAUCCAAACACAAAAUGUAAAUAAACUUGUAUAUUCUUUUCUCAUCUCUUCAAUCAUGUUUGCACAAAUAAUUUCAUAAACAAUAACCUUUGCAACAAGCGUGAAAAGGGCUCCCUAGGAGUACCUAGGAUGUUUUGGGUGCCUAACACCUUUCCAUUGCAUAACCAACCCCCUUACCCAGAUCUCAGUUUCUUUUACUAGUUUUGUUUGUAAAACUUUUUAGGUUUUUGUUCGUUUUCUAACCAUUCCUUUGGAUAAAUAGAAGUGCGGUGGCGACUCGACUUUGUAUGAUUUACCUUGGAUUUAGUCAAUAUCUCCAAUGGUAACGAAUACACCGCUACAGCGGUCAACGAUGAAGAUGGGGAUAGUGAUUGAGACAUCGAUAAUUGGGUAUGUCCGAGGAUCCCGGGUGAAGUCAUCAACAAUUGGUCUUCUGAGGAGAUUGUCUAAGUCACUUUUCCAGAGGAGUAAUUUUUCUUGUUUAUUCAUGCAUGUCCAAGUCUUACGUUCCGCCCAGGGCGUAAUGACUCAUUGUAGGGCUCAUCUAUGCGAAUACCUGCAUUUUUUAUCAUCAAUAAAGGACGUCUUUUUGCAUUCAAAUAUUUCUUUCACUGUUUUUCCAUUUUUGCAGUUUUCAAAAAUCAAAAAAUAUUUGGCAAUGUUUUGUUUAGUUUUCAUUUUUUCACACUCAUAAGCACAUACCAUCACUCAUGCAGAUGCACGUCACCGGAUCCUAUUGAUAACGAUUCUGCUAUGGCUCGCUUCGACUUUGAAAAUCCAAUCUUUCAAGAUGAAGAAGAGGGUGAUGAAGAUUGUGAACUCCCUGAAGAACUUACCAGGCUAUUAAAACAGGAACGAAGGGUCAUUCAACCGCAUCAAGACUCUGUGGAAGUGAUUAAUCUCGGCAUCGAGGACGUCAAGAGAGAAAUCAAGAUAGGGGCUGCUUUGGAAGAUAAUGUGAAGAAGGGGUUGAUUGAAUUGCUGCAAGAGUAUGUUGACAUCUUCGCCUGGUCUUAUCAAGACAUGCCAGGGCUUGACACAGACAUUGUGGUACACCGUUUGCCUCUCAAAGAAGGUUGUCCUCCGGUCAAGCAGAAGCUCAGAAGAACAAGACCAGAGAUGGCUGUCAAGAUAAAGGAAGAAGUGCAAAAACAGUUGGAUGCAGGGUUUCUAGCGGUUACAAAUUAUCCGCCAUGGGUAGCAAACAUCGUUCCAGUACCUAAGAAGGAUGGAAAGGUACGGAUGUGUGUUGACUACCGGGAUCUGAACAGAGAUAGCCCUAAAGAUGAUUUCCCAUUACCUCACAUUGACGUUUUGGUGGAUAACACAACUCAGUUCUCGGUAUUCUCCUUCAUGGAUGGCUUUUCUAGCUAUAACCAAAUUAUGAUGGCGCCAGAAGACAUGGAGAAGACAACUUUCAUAACCCUUUGGGGCACCUUCUGCUACAAGGUGAUGCCGUUUGGUCUGAAAAAUGCUGGGGCAACAUAUCAAUGAGCUAUGGUAACUCUUUUCCAUGAUAUGAUUCAUCAUGAAAUCGAGGUUUAUGUGGAUGAUAUGAUUGCCAAAUCUCAGACGGAAGAAGAACAUUUGGUGAAUUUGCAGAAAUUGUUUGAGCGUUUGAGAAAAUUCAAGCUGAGGCUUAAUCCGAACAAGGCACUUUCGGGGUCAGAGCGGAAAUUGCUGUUUUAUUGUUAGCGGAAAAGGGAUGAGUGGCCAACAAAAUGAAAGCAAUACGAAAUGUCUAGCCAAUGAACAGAGAAGCAAGUUCGUAGUUUCUUAGGAAGGUUGAACUACAUUGCAAGGUUCAUCUCUCACCUAACAGCCACGUGUGAGCCAAUAUUCAAAUUGUUGAGAAAAGAUCAGGCUAUCAGGUGGAAUGAUGAGUGUCAAGGGGCUUUCGAGAAGAUAAAAGAGUAUUUGCAUAAUCCUCCUACCCUUAUGCCUCCGGUCCCAGGGAGACUGUUGAUUAUGUACUUGACAGUACUUGACAAUUCUAUGGGUUGUUUUCUCGAUCAACACGAUGAGACAGGUAGGAAAGAACAUGCCAUCUACUACCUGAGUAAGAAAUUCACAGAUUGCGAGUCGAGAUACUCGAUGCUUGAAAAGACAUGUUGUGCACUUGCAUGGGCUGCUAAGCGUUUGAGACAAUACAUGCAGUCUCACACAACCUUACUGAUCUCCAAGAUGGAUCCAGUCAAGUACAUAUUCGAGAAGCCAACUCUCACCGGAAGGGUUGCUCGUUAGCAAAUGGUACUGACAGAGUACGAUAUCCAGUAUACAUCCCAGAAAGCCAUCAAGGGGAGUAUUCUGUCAGACUAUCUUGCUCAACAGCCGGUUGAAGAUUAUGAGCCGAUGAAGUUUGAUUUUGGAGAUGAAGACAUCAUGUUCCUCAAGAUGAAAGACUACGAAGAUCCAGUUGUUGAGGAGGGACCUGAUCCAGAUGAAAAGUGGACUUUGUUGUUUGAUGGGGCUGUCAAUGCCCGAGGAAGUGGAAUUGGUGCUGUCAUUACUACUCCGAAAGGUGCCCACAUGCCUUUCACCGCUCGUCUGACGUUUGAGUGCACCAAUAAUAAAGCUGAGUAUGAAGCCUAUAUCUUGGGUAUUGAGCAAGCCAUUGAUUUGAGAAUCAAGACUCUGGACAUCUUCAGAGAUUCGGCUCUAGUGAUCAAUCAAGUGAAUGGUGAUUGGAACACCCUCCAGCCCAAUCUGGUCCCCUACAGAGAUUACACAAGAAGACUGUUGACUUUCUUCACGACAGUAAAGUUGUAUCAUAUACCUCGUGACGAAAACCAGAUGGUAUAUGCUCUUGCUACUCUAUCCUCCAUGAUCAACGUGAUUCGGUGGAACCACGCUCUCAGGAUCGAUGUGAUGCGCCUCAACAGGGCCGCGUAAGUGUUUGCUGCUGAACUUUGAGUUGACGACAAGCCCUGGUAUCACGACAUCAAGCGCUUUCUGAAGAAUCAAGAGUACCCUGCAGGGGCAUCCAACAAUGAUAGAAAGACUUUGAGAAGAUUGGCAGGCAGUUUCUUCUUGAACAAAGACGAUGUGUUGUAUAAGAGGAACUUUGACAUGGUUCUGCUUAGAUGCGUGGAUAGACACGAAGCAGACAUGUUAAUACAGGAAGUUCAUGAAGGCUCCUUCGGUACUCAUGCCGGCGGACAUGCAAUGGCUAAGAAAUUGUUGAGAGCAGGUUAUUACUGGAUGACCAUGGAAUCUGAUUGUUUCAAAUAUGCUCGGAAGUGUCAUAAAUGCCAGAUUUAUGCUGAUAAGGUACAUGUGCCGCCGAAUCCUUUGAAUGUGAUGUCUUCGCCGUGGCCUUUUGCUAUGUGGGGCAUUGAUAUGAUUGGAAAGAUUGAGCCGACUGCCUCCAAUGGGCACCGCUUCAUCCUUGUUGCCAUCGACUAUUUCACCAAGUGGGUCGAAGCAACAUCAUUCGCGAAUGUCACCAGACAUGUGGUCGCCCGAUUCAUUAAGAAAGAAAUCAUUUGUCGUUAUGGGAUUCCCGAAAGAAUCAUUACUGAUAAUGGUUCUAAUCUCAAUAACAAAAUGAUGAAGGAGUUGUGCCAGAACUUCAACAUUCAGCAUCACAAUUCUUCCCCUUACCGUCCUAAGAUGAACGGUGUUGUUGAGGCGGCAAAUAAGAACAUAAAGAAGAUUGUGCAGAAGAUGGUCGUUACGUACAGAGAUUGGCAUGAGAUGCUACCCUUUACCUUGCAUGGAUACCGUACUUCAGUACGUACAUCGACCGGGGCAACCCCUUACUCCCUUGUGUAUGGUAUGGAAGUAGUUCUACCUGUUGAAGUGGAGAUUCCUUCUCUAAGAGUGCUGUUGGAUGUCAAGUUAGACGAAGCUGAAUGGGUUCGGACAAGGUUCAAUGAGUUGAGUCUUAUCAAAGAGAAGCGAAUGGCAGCCAUUUGUCAUGGGCAGUUGUAUUAUAGUUGGAUGAAGAGAGCCUUUGAUAAGAAAGUGCGUCCUCGAUGUUUCCAAGUCGGAGAUUUAGUGUUGAAAAGGAUCCUUUCUCCUCAGACAGAUCACAGGGGCAAGUGGACUCCUAACUAUGAUGGACCGUAUAUUGUCACCAAGGUUUUUGAUGGUGGGGCCUUAAUGCUUGCAACUAUGGAUGGUGAAAACUUCACUUCCCCUGUGAACUCAGACGCAGUUAAAAAAUACUUCGCAUAAAAUAGACCCGCUGGACAGUAAAAAGAAUAGUCCAGGCAAAAAUGGGCAUCCCGACGAACCAAGAAAAUGAAAAGGUUCGGGCAAAAAUUAGGGAUUAAAAAUGAAAAGAUCGUACACCCGGUAAGUUGAAAACCUGAAAAGGCAACUUAGGCAAAAAUGGGUAUCACGGUGGAUUGAAAACCCGAAAAGGGCGAUCCAGGCAAAAGUUAGGGAUUAAGCGAAUGAUUGCGUUCUGAGUAGUUCUGAAUCUCAUCCCAUGUUGAUAACUAGAAACUUCGAAAGGUAGGAAACAGUCCAAUCACCUUUUUCAGAAGGUUGAUCAUCUGGAGGAUCUGGAAGACGAGCGAGUCAUAGCAGAGUUGGAACCCGAUAGAAAUCCAUUUCACAUUGCCAUUAGAUUAAUUUCUGUUUUUUUAUCUUUUGUGUGAUUACCUCUUUCCAGGGAUUGCUUCCUGAUGUAAAUGCCUAUUCAGAGGCCACUCAAUCAAUAAAAUCAUGUUAUUCAGUACAUCUCUGUUUUCAUUUUCAUUUUACUGUUUUGUUUGCAAAAAUGACGUCCGAAUUUUUGAUAAACAUUGCAUCAUGAAACAUAAGAGCUUUACAGGUACAUGCUUAAUAAACAUCUGUUUUCAUUUUCAUUUUACUGUUUUGUUUGCAAAAAUGACGUCCGAAUUUUUGAUAAACAUUGCAUCAUGAAACAUAAGAGCUUUACAGGUACAUGCUUAAUAAACAUUUAAAAUUGCUGUAAGCGUUAAGUGCUUUGGAUCUUCUAUUCAGAACAGGUACACUCGGGGCGGUUCCUUAAGGUCCCCAUCAAAUGAUCGCGGAUGUUUUUCCUCAAUAGUGGGAAUUUGGUAUCUUAUCCCUGCAGAGCUGAUCAGAGCAUUGGAUUCUUCGAUCCCCAGCAGGCUCUCACUGUUGUACCUCCCCCAAGCGAUUGUUUCAGAAUAUACACUCCCCAGCGGAGUUGACAGUGCCAGACUGUAUCUUCCUAGCAGAAACAGUUGCUCCUUAGAGUUCGAUGCUAGAUCGAUGAUCUCGACGCUAGACCCAUGGUCUCUUUCCUUGAAGCAGAAUCUCGAUACUGUAUCGGUGUUUGCUUCCCCUGCCGAGUCGUCUCUCUCACAGAUUAUGGUUGCCAGGACCACUAUCGCUUUCCUCAGCAACAAGCUUUCAGUGUCGUUCUCUCCCCAGUCAGAGCCUCGGUAUUUUGUUAUUUGCCAGAACACCGUGUGGCGGAUCAUUUCCCUAGCAGAUUCCCUUGCCUCGGCUUGGCAUUCUACCCAGCAUUUCGCAUCCCUGCAUGUAGAAUCAUAUUGCAUUGCAUCCUCCCAAAUCGCGUAGCAUUUCCAUUUUCAUGGAGCAUUACGCCAUUGAAAAAUUCAAACAUACGCAUGUAAGCAUAAAACAUUCUCGGUAUCCCAAGUGAUAAGCCAGAAGUUGUUUCCAGUACUCAGACUGAAGAUUGUUCAUGACUUACCUUUAUUAUCCCCAGCAAGUGUCAUUGGCCCAUGCGCCGCCUCUAUUAUCUUUCCCUAUUUCUGUCGAUGCUGACAGGCAUGAAGUUUUUUCGGUAUUUAGAUCGAAGUGGCAUUCAGGCCAGUUUUCCGAUGUUCAGAUCGAAGAAGUUUCCGACAUUCAGGUCGAUGCAACUUGUGGCAUUCAGGCCAGUUUCCGGUAUUUAGACCGAAGUGGCAUUUAGGCCAAUUUUCCGAUGUUCAGAUCGAAGAAGUUUCCGACAUUCAGGUCGAUGCAACUUGUGGCAUUCAAGCCAGUUUUCGGUAUUCAGACCGAAGUGGCAUUCAGGCCAAUUUUCCGAUGUUCAGAUCGAAGAAGUUUCCGACAUUCAGGUCGAUGCAACUUGUGGCAUUCAGGCCAAUUUUCCGAUAUUCAGAUCAAAGUGGCAUUCAGGCCAAUUUUUCGAUAUUCAGAUCGAAGUGGCAUUCAGGCCAGUUUUCCGAUGUUGAGAUCGAAGAAGUUUCCGACAUUCAGGUCGACGCAACUUGUGGCAUUCAGGCCAGCCUCUCGGUGUUCAGACUGAUAUAUUAUUAGAGUAUAGAAGGCUACAAGUCUAGCUUCAGUAAAGGUCAUAACAGACUGAUGAGCGGCAUUCAGGCCAUGGUUAUUUCUGUGUUACCAUUUAUUUUGGUAUCCAGGUUAACAUUCUUUUUAGGUAUUCAGACUGACUCUCACCGUACCAAACAGAUUCUUCUUUCAAGACCACCUCUUUGCCGAUUCUGACAGGCAUUGUUACUUCACUUCACUUAAGUGCAAAUUUUCGGGCUUUUAUUAUAUUCAAUCCCUUGAUACCUCGAAGUGCGAAAGCCGCUGCUAUCUUCUUUUCGGGUCUCCAGUUGAUUGAAUAGGGGAAGCUGUAAUACCUCAAAAUUUGCCCCCUUCAUUCAUGCAUUCAUUUUUAGGUCAUUUAACAUUUCAUAUUGCAUUUCAUCAUGUCAAUCAGAAUUAGAUCCAAGAAGCUUGAAUAUCAUCCAAGACACUUUGUGGGUCCUAUCUGGGUGAUCAUUCAACACAAGGGAAUGGCUUGAGAUACUUCCAACAUGUUCAAAUGGGGUAUAUUCAUCAGUCAAAACAUUAAUCUUGAAGGAGCAAAAGUUUGUUCAUGAACUGUCAUGCUCGCUAGGCGAAGCCCACGCGUUUCAAAAAAAAAACGAAAAGAAAAAACGAAAAAUAAAUAAAUAAAUAAAAUAUAACAGAAAAAUCUUGGACUUGGACCUCUCUCUUUUGAGCCCACAAAGUCACAAAAAUCAGGUUAUAAAUUCUAGACUUCCAUCUCCCAAAAAACCCUGGGAAAAAGAUAGUGAGAGAAGAGCUAACAGAGUUCAGAGCAACCUCCAGAGACUGAAAGGAACUCAUCUGCAAAGAGCCAAUUCCAUCUCAUAUAAAUCCUCAGAUUGCUUUGCAAACCCAACGGGCAAUUCAAUUCCAUUCGAUCUCUCCAAUCAGGUUUGCCCUCUUUCCAUUACUCUAUGCUUUCAAUUUGAAUGCUCUGAAUGUAUGAGGUAUUAUCGUUAGGUUUUGCAUGUGGGCACAUGUUUUAGUAUGUAUGUCAUGUCUUGAUGUGUGGAUCCUUGCCCCUGACUUUGAAUUUUGAUACCCUUUUGAUGCAUGUGUUUAACAAGAGGUUUAGGCCUCCUACACUUGGUUGCUUUUUGUGAGCUCUUUUUGUGAAUUUUAAUGGCAUGAUUCAUGUGGUUACAUUUUGAUUUGGGGCAACUCUUGAUUGCACCCCAUCUUGUCACUCUAACCUGUUUGUUGAGUUUUUUGUGAGGGCUCACAUGACUCCUGAAAGGAUAGCUUGCUUGGCAUUCCACUUUAUUUGUGGGAUACCAUUUGGAGAUUUAUUCCGAUUACCUGUAUUGACUUGCUUUCUUUGAUGGUGCCAGCUCGAGAGAUCUCUGGGUUUCUUAUUUCUUUAGCUGUUAUUACUUCGGAUCUUUAUCCGUGUGGUAGAUNNNNNNNNNNNNNNNNNNNNNNNNNNNNNNNNNNNNNNNNNNNNNNNNNNNNNNNNNNNNNNNNNNNNNNNNNNNNNNNNNNNNNNNNNNNNNNNNNNNNNNNNNNNNNNNNNNNNNNNNNNNNNNNNNNNNNNNNNNNNNNNNNNNNNNNNNNNNNNNNNNNNNNNNNNNNNNNNNNNNNNNNNNNNNNNNNNNNNNNNNNNNNNNNNNNNNNNNNNNNNNNNNNNNNNNNNNNNNNNNNNNNNNNNNNNNNNNNNNNNNNNNNNNNNNNNNNNNNNNNNNNNNNNNNNNNNNNNNNNNNNNNNNNNNNNNNNNNNNNNNNNNNNNNNNNNNNNNNNNNNNNNNNNNNNNNNNNNNNNNNNNNNNNNNNNNNNNNNNNNNNNNNNNNNNNNNNNNNNNNNNNNNNNNNNNNNNNNNNNNNNNNNNNNNNNNNNNNNNNNNNNNNNNNNNNNNNNNNNNNNNNNNNNUUUGAUACCCUUUUGAUGCAUGUGUUUGACAAGAGGUUUAGGCCUCCUACACUUGGUUGCUUUUUGUGAGCUCUUUUUGUGAAUUUUAAUGGCAUGAUUCAUGUGGUUACAUUUUGAUUUGGGGCAACUCUUGAUUGCACCCCAUCUUGUCACUCUAACCUGUUUGUUGAGUUUUUUGUGAGGGCUCACAUGACUCCUGAAAGGAUAGCUUGCUUGGCAUUCCACUUUAUUUGUGGGAUACCACCUGGAGGUUUAUUCCGAUUACCUGUGCUGACUUGCUUUCUUUGGUGGUGCCAUCUUGAGAGAUCUCUGGGUUUCUUGUGUCGUUAGUUUCUAUUACUUCGGAUCUUUAUCCGUGUGGUACUUUUACAUCUUUCCCGCAUUUUACCGCUUUCUUAGUUGGAAGACCUCAAUAGGAGGCAAUGUUUUCUUUUGUUUGUUUACUUUUGUGCCCAAAGACCUCCAUGCAGAGGCAAUUGACGGAUAAAAGAGAUUAGUAAUCAAUCCCCCGUUAUUCAGUGUGUCGUUCUUUAUGCUCGCACUACGUGUCGAUGCUUCAGAACAAAAGCCCAAGAUCUUUUGUCCGGUCAGUCAGUGGAGAGGGUUCCACCUUUAUGAAUCCCCACCAUGAGCUCACCCUGUCCAGGGUUAAGAGCUAUGAGGUCUUAUCCUCAUUACCCUUUUGAUCUGCUCACCCUGACGUUCAAUGUCAGUGGUUAAGAGCCCAUUUGAUUACCUAUUCCAUGGCUUGUUUGUCGAGGUUGAUAUGACCCCUCUUGACUAAAGCCCUACCCAUGUAUGUUUAAGCCCCCUUGUUGGCAUUUUACUUUAUGCAUGUUUGUUUUGUAUGGUGUGAUCGUCUCCCCAUAGGAUUGCUAGGCUUCGUAUAGUCUCUCGUUUGCAUGUCAAUUAAGGUAGCACUGUUCCUUCGUCUAGGACUUCCUUUUUUGCAUGAGCAUUCCUAAAACACAAACAAACUCAUUGAUUUUUCUUCUCCUAAGAACACGUUAACUCCUUCUACUACAGGCGAGUAAGUCUCCAAAGGUCGAGCAUCCGGUAGAUUGCGUAGUAACGUCGUUCAUCCAAAAACACAACCCUUAACCCGUAGUUAGCCGAACUACGGCUUGCUCUGAUUCUCAUUCCAGAUGAGAUACGUAGGCAUAAGACGCGAUGUCUUAGCGAGCACACUCCUCUUUAACCCAUAGGUAGCCGAGCUACGAAGACUCUGAUUCUCAUAUUCAGAUGAGAUACGUAUGCAGUGGAUGCGACAUCCGUGCGAGUCAUUUUCUUUUGACCCCCUUUUUAGUAAAUAGUACAUUAGAUAAACCCACACCCUUUAGACAAGAACAACAAGAGUGGAUCCCGUAGAGUACUACGGAUGCGUAGGGGUGCUAAUACCUUCCCUUCGCAUAAUCGGCUCCCGAACCCAAGAUUUGGUUGCGAGACCUUGUCUUUUCCUUUCCUCUUUUUAGGUUUACUUCGAGUGUUUCCUUUCCCUCCUUUGGGAUAAAUAACGCACGGUGGCGACUCUUCUGUCAUCUCUUUUCUCGCCGGUUGUUUUUUUUGCAUUUCUUUUUUCAGGUUGCGACAGUCACAAUUAAACGUUAUUUCACUUAGGAAUAAAAGAGGAAAUGGUUUUGAGUUUUCAACUCCUCUCCUCGAUUAUUUAAACACGAACUCUUGUACUCGAUUAAUCGAACAAUCGUCAUUUCUAAUCCACCUAAGCACAGUUAAAUCAAAUUCUUUUACAAUAAGAAAUAAAAAGGGAGAUGACUUUGAGUCUUCAAUUUUUCUCCUCGACUAUUUGAAUACAAGUUCUCUUACUUGGUUAGUCAAAUAGUUAUCGUUCCUCUACAAACCUCCAAACCCCGAUUAAAUCAGAAUAUUUUCACAGUAAGCCAAAUGAAAAAGGGAGUUGAUUUUGAGUUUUCAACUUCACUCCCCAAUUGUUUGAAUACGAGUUCUCUUACUCGGUUAGUCGAACAAUUGUCAUUUUCCACAAGCAUAUAACUUAAUCAAAUCAUUUUCGUUACAAAUUAUACAAAAAGGGAGAUGGUCUUGAGCCUUCGAUUCCUCUCUUCAAAUGCUUGGAUAUGAGUUGUCUUACUUAGCCAUUCAAGUACUUGUCGUUUAUUCUAAAAUACGUCAACCAUAUACAACCUUAUUUUCUUAAAUACUCAGAUGAAACAGAAAGCGGUCUAGAGUCUUUUAUUCCUUUUUCCGAUUAUUAGGAUACGAGUCGUCUUACUCGAUUAUCCUAGUAUUCGUCAUCCAUUCAAAACACCUUAAUUACUAUCAAAUCCUUUUUAUAAUUAAGGAUGAAAAAGAGGGUGGUCUAGAAUCUUCUAUUCCCUUUCCCGACUGUUAGGAUACGAGUUGUCUUACUCAACUAUCCGAGUAAUCGUCAUCCAACCUAAAACAUCUCAACCAAUCAAAAACAUCAAACAUAUUAAUACAACUUGUCACCCCCGUGUGACCAAAACUCUUUUCAGAAAGAACACUGUUAAUCCUUUCUGAUGCGCACAACAAACUAGCGCUUAAGCCUCCGCCGAGAGUAAACAAGCCAACGUUUAGCCUUUAGAACGCGAUCUAAAAUAGUCAUUCACUAAGAGACACCAACCAACCGUAGUUCCCCGAACUACGAAUGCUCUGAUUUUCUUAUUAUACCAUAAGGAUAUGUAGGCAGGAGAUUGUUGUAUCUUCGCGAGCACACUAAUAAAAAACCUCCCCUUUCUCCUUUCUAAGGUUCUCAUCCAUUUCUAUUUUCAAUAUUUUAUAACCCAAAGAUAACAAACAACUUUCUAAGGUUCUCAUCCAUUUCUAUUUUCAAUAUUUUAUAACCCAAAGAUAACAAACAAACAUAAAUUAACACUCGAAACGCAAAUUAGAACUAAAAGGUUCCCGUUGAGUACAACGGACGUAAGAGGUGCGACGACCAUUAUUCCAUUUUCUAAAGGUUUUAUCGAUAUUUUCCUAUUCUUUACGUAAUCCACUCUCGAACCCGAAUAUGGUUGCGACGAUCAUUAUUCCAUUUUCUAAAGGUUUUAUCGAUAUUUUCCUUUUCCUAUUCCUAUGAUAAACCAACCACCUGUGUGUAAGAUCCUAAUUUUGACCCUAAGAUCCCUCAUGGCAUCAUAACAUUGCUCAUUUGCAUUUUCCUCAAGGAUCAUAGCAUCUUGGCUCAUUACCCUUGGGUUGGGAGUUGUGUGAGUUGGUUUGAGACCACCAAGCAUGCUUGAAUUGUAUAUUAUUGCUUUUCUUAUUUUAUUUACUAACCAAAAGCAUAAAAACAUGUCACUAACAUCUUUUGUUUUGAAGCUUAAGCAGUCAUGUGAUUCAAGCCUCCUAGGAGACCCCUAUGCUCAUUGAUAUGACCAGAUGAAGUUGAAAGCAAGCAUGAUAAUGGUUUCCAAAGCUCUCAAUCAUCAUAUAUGCCUCCCAAGUAUCUCAAUUUGUCAAUUUGAUCAGGAUAAGCCAAAGGGCUUGAGGAUUGUUUUCCAAGGAAACCCUAAUUCAACUAUGCAUUGAUUGUGCCUUGCUCAUGAAGCAACCUCAACCCAUGAUCAAAUACAAUCAAGGUAAAUUAUUUCAUUCAUAAUUUUAUGCAUAUAUGAGCCCAUGUGGGUGUCCUCAAUCAUUUGUUCAUCAAGAUUUGAAGUUUGGACUUGAGAAGUUGAUCAGUCAAAUCAUCUAACUAUUUUGAAAUCCACUAAGACCUAACUUUUUAUGUGUUUGUCAAAUGAAGAUGACCCCAAGAGAAACACUGUUCUUAAGAACCAUAUGAACAACUUUCAUGUUCAUCAAAAGUUCAUUUAAAAUUUGUAAGGUCAUCAUUCAUUUCAAAACAUUAUAGGUCAUUUUGACUGAAACCCUAAUUUUGUGUCAACUUCCCAAGGACCUAACUCCUUCAUUUUUUAUAAUUUUGAGGUGGGAUCAAGUGCAUUGGAAAUUUUAAGAUUUCUACUUCAAAUGUUAUGUUGGACAAAAUUUCAUAAUCCUAAAAGAAACACAUGUGCUAAUACAAAACAUUAUAGGUCACUUUGGACCAAAGUCAUUGAAAUGUGAAAAAGUCCAACUUGAAGUGCCCAUAACUUUCUAAUAAAAAAUGAAAUUGAUGCAAAAUUUAAGUCCAAAUUGAUUGUAUUGAAAAUAUAUACACCUUUGAUGUUGAAGGUUUUGUCAUUUGAGGCUUACAUCAUUGAAACAGAAGGGCUUGAAGUUGGUCCAUUUUAGCAAUUUUCUCAAAUACAUGUUUUGUACAUUGAACUUCAUGGCCAGUUUUCAAUAUUUUCCCAACUCCAAAUGGAUUUUUGUUCAACAUAACAUUUGUUCCUUAUGUCAAGACCUUUCCAACCAUUACCCAUAUGCCUAUGUUUCAAUUUUGCAAAUGGCAUUUUCGAAGAGGUGAAGUUCUAGGUUCAAUUAUGCAUAACAUGUGAAAUCUUCUUGCAUACUACAUUGCCUUGCCAUUUGCACGUCCAAACUUCAUUCUUUAAUCAUCAUCACUCAAAUGCAAUUGGUUUUGGGCCUCACAUGCGCCUGUACAGGCCCAUGCAUGGAGGACUCAAGCUCAUGCACACACGAGUUCUUCAUUGCAUUGCAUCAGCCUUGGCUAUAAAUAGGAUGCUUCACUCACUUCAAAUCUCAACCUAAAGGCGCCUGAAGCUCUGCACAACUGAAUCCCUAACCCUCCAUUAAAGGAAUUCUGGUUUUUUCUCUUCAUUUUUCAAGCUCAAAUUUCAACUUCCUUGGUUGAUCUCUGACUUAUAAUUCCUUAGCCUUGCUUCCUUGUUACUUAAAGAUCAAGUUGCACUGAAGAAUUGGAUUGGAUCAAGCACUGAAAAGCUGCACUUCAAAGGUUGAUUCUCCAACUGUUUUCCUUCGAAUCUCCCUUAUUAUUAUGCAUUGCUUGGUUUGGUUGGUACCUCUGAAGUCCUCAUGUGAGAGGCAAUUGAUUUGUGCUUUUAAUUUUGUGAAUUGAGCAAGUUCAGAUUGAACACCUCAUUUUUCUAUCUCAGAUUUCUUUCUCUAUAGGGAUCUUGAGUGGAAAUUAAGGUUAUAGGGGUGAUGUACAUCACCCCAGCUUUCGAAUGAUGUAUGGAUCGCGUGUUAUGGUUGAGGUUUGAAAACCUGCAACUGGUGGCCGGAAAAAGGCUUCUCACCGGAGAAGAUGAUUGUUUUUAAUUCAUUUAAAAUACUUUUUGAUAUUCAAAAAUGCCAAAAAUAUAUUCUUAACAUCUUUGGAUAAUGAUGAAUCUAUGAAAAAUAUUCUCAUCAAUUUCUUAAUUGAUUUGAGAUUUUAGUCCAAUUAUGUUAUUUUUCUUCAUUUUUAAUUGUUUAAAAAUAGUUUCUGUUUUCAAAAAAUGAUGAAAUUUUUUGUCAAACCUUGUUUGACCAUGUUAGACUUAUGAUGAUCCCAAUUGGACUUUCCAAGUUGAUUUGAAUUGGAUUUGAAGUUUGACCUUUAUUUGUUCAUUUUAUUUCAAGUAUUAUUUUAAUUCCAAAAAUUACCAAAAUAUUUUUGUUCAUUUCUUGACUUCUAAUCUUCAUCUCACUUCUGUUUACCAUUGAUUGAUGUUGAUUCCAUUCAUAUUUGGUCAAUGUGUGUUGGUUAUGUUGUUUGAAUUUCAAUUAUGUACAUUCCAUUUCCAUCUUCUUCUUCUUCUUUUUUCUUUUUGACCAAUGAGUUAAUGAUUGGUGGUUAGCCUUGACAUAUGAGAGGCUUAACCUUCUUUGAUCUAAAUAAAAUUCAUCUUGAUCAAAGAUCAAGUGAAUUGCUUUGCAUUAAAGAUAGGUUGCUUCUUGGUCAAGCAAAAAACCUAAAUCCAUACAAGGUCAUUCUUCCUUUUCUUUUGGCAUGGCAAGUUGUAGGAGCUUGGCUUACUAGUCAUGAUCUCUAACUUGUGUUUAUUUGCCUAUAGUUGUAUUGACCGGCCUCAGAUAGGUGUGACUACUACAUUAGUCUACUUACGAUUGCUUAACAUAGCGCUAAAUUGCCUUAUGGCACACUAACACUAACUACUAAUUACUAACUUUUAAUUCAAGCAUUUAAUUCUUGCAAUUUACUUUAAUGCAAACACUAACUACUAAUUACUAACUUUUAAUUCAAGCAUUUAAUUCUUGCAAUUUACUUUAAUGCAAUUUAAUUUCUUGCUCAUUAAUUCAUUUGUCUUUUCCCUUUGCUCACUUGAGCUCAUGUUUAUGAUUAUGCAAUUUGCCUUUUGCUCACUUGAGCACAUUAUUGUGUAUAUAUUAUUGCCUUGUGCUUGUUUUGUUUUUUGUUUGUGUGAACCCAAUGCAAAUGGAGAAAGAACUUAGAUUUAGGACCUUACCUAUGCUAAAUGGAGUUUCAAGAGCAACUUGGCCUCAUGCCUUUAGAAUGCUAAAUAUGUUGAAGAGCAACUAGGCCUCAUGCCUUUAGAAUGCUUAAUCUUGAAGAUAAAUUGAAAGGACCUUAUUCUAAACUCACUCUUGUCCAUUCUUUUUAUUGCAUUGUGGAACCUUUUGAUUUGUGUAUUCUUGUGAUAGGGAUCCCAAACUUGAGCUAAUUAGAAGGACCAUUGUCAUGAGCAUCCAAAGUGAGUGAGACAAGUCCAAAUUGGAAGAUCCUAGGAGCUUGAUUGAGUAUUUGCUUGAUUGCUUGAGUUAAUUGCUUAUUGCUUGCUAAAUCCAAAGGAAAGGAGCAACUUGGAUCAUCUUUAUGAUCUCAAGAAGGGAACUCCAAGUGGUUUUAUUUCUCUUCCCUCGUCUUUUCAUGUUUAGGACCUAGCCCUUCUCUUCUUCUCUCCACUCUAACCCAAGCCAAACCUUUUUGUGCAAACAUUAACAUUGCUUUCAAAAUUAGAAACCUAGGCAUUAUGCCUUUGAUUUUUCAAACUCUUUUCAUAACACUUAUUUUGAAUUGAAUCUUAAGUCAACUUGGACUUUAUUUUGUGAAUACUUUUCAUUUGUAAAUACAACUCACUCAAUUGUUUUUGUGGUUCCAAUGGCCACUUUUGCCAAAGCUUUUCAUAAACAUUAGCUAUUAGGUUUGAGUUAUCAUAGAGGUUGAUGUAAUCCUCACCAGUAUCCUUAGUGAUUGGACUAUAAGUCUUCCAUACUUAUUAUAGGAUGGAUCCCUCACUAGUAUGUUGAAGCUCUCCUCACAUGGUGGAUUUGUGGUUUUAGGUUGAGUUUUCUCCCUUUGAUAACAAGAGACCUUAAGGCUUUUGACCAAUCAAUUCACCAAUUUAUUUUGAGAUUUUGACCCCGAACUACGAGGUUCUGAUCCUACCUUUUUAAGAUGGUACGUAGGCAAUGGGUUUAUCCAUUCAAACACAAAAAUUGUAAAUAAGUUGUAUAUUCUUCUCUCAUCUCCCCAAUCAUGUUUGCACAAAUAUUUUCACAAAUACCGACCUACCAUACAACAUUUGUAAAAAGGGCUCCCUUAGAGUACUAAGGAUGUUUUGGGUGCUUAAAACCUUCCCAUUGCAUAAAACCAACCCCCUUACCCAGAUCUCUGACAUUUUUAUUAGUUUUUGAUUUGAUAAAACUUCUCGGUUUUUGUUCGCUUUCUAACCUUUCCUUUGGAUAAAUAGAAGUGCGGUGGCGACUCGAAUUGUAUGAUUUACUUUUGAUUUAGUCAAUAAAUCUAAAGGUAACGAAUACCCCGCUACUGAAAAGUGGCGACUCUACUGGGGAUUGAUAAGAUUACGUCUCUAGUGGGUUUGCCUACUUUUUACCUUUGCUGUAUUGUAUGUUUAUAUUUAUUUGUGACAUAUUUUUGUGCAAAUUUGGGAUGACUGUAUUUUUGUAAUGUAUGAAUUGCUUGAUAUAUCAAUUGCUUGUGUGCUUGGUGGUCUUUUGUGAGAUGAGUUCUAUUACCCGAACUCGAGUGCACUUAUGAUAGGAGAAUGGCAUAGUCUUGUUGGCUUGUGUGGAGUUAUUCCUUAGCAAGUUGACUUGCAAGCCCAUUCACUUGGUGGAGGUUAUGUUGGGAUCAAUAAAGUCACACGAGUAGUCGUGGUUAGGCAUUACUCUUUCCAAUAUAUGCCUUAGAAACCAAGGACCUUAUAUUACCUAACCCAUCUUGGCCUAUUUUAGGACGUAGUGCGAAGGUCAUUCAAGUGUAAGAUUUGAUACGAUUGUUACGCGAUACUACAUUCAUAAGAGUCUCUCUUGAGAAUAUUUUUGGAAUACGAGUAGUCGUUUAUCCGAUAAUAUCCAAAAGAUGGGAUGAUGACUAUGGGAACCUCUUGUAGAACAUGAUCUUCAGGUUUAACCAUAGUACACUCCCUUUGGGUGGUUCUUAACCGAGACUCCAUGCUCGUGACUUGCAACAAACCCUUGAUUCGCGGUUGAUCCGUUCUCGUAUAUCCUUAAUAUCAAUGGAACUUGGGAAGUACACUCCCUUUGGGUGGUUCUUAACCGAGACUCCAUGCUCGUGACUUGCAACAAACCCUUGAUUCGCGGUUGAUCCGUUCUCGUAUAUCCUUAAUAUCAAUGGAACUUGGGUGUUGAUAAGGUGCAAACCAUAAUCCACCAAAAUGGAUGAUUGAUAUUAAGGAUAACUUGAUCCAUCCCGUGACCUUUGUGUGGCGUGAUUUGCUUGAUCCUUGAGUGUGAUUGUUGCAUUCAUGCAUUCAUGCAUUCAUACACAUCCAUAUCAUCAACAAUGAGAAAAUGUUCAAGGAACUUAAGAGGUCUAUUUGCAAAUUUUCAGACAUGGAUAAGCAAAGAAGGAAAACGAAGAAGUAUAGUUUCAGACAACCCGACUUAAAAGAGUUAAGGAGUUUGACAUCCUAUGUAUUAGACCCCUUGGAGUUCAAGGCUCAUCAUGGGAAGCUGUUGUCUAUUCUUGCUACUCAGGUGGAUGAAGGUCUGAUGAGUGUGUUGGUGCAGUUCUAUGAUCCUCUGUACCAUUGCUUCACUUUCCUGGAUUUCUAGCUUUUGCCUACGCUUGAGGAGUAUGCCUAUCUUGUGGGUACACCUAUUCUAGAUCAUUUGUCGUUCAGUGGCUUGGAGAGAGUUCUCUCUUCCCAAGAGAUUGUUGAUUUGUUGCAUAUAGAUGAAUCUAUUGUUGGUGCUCAUAUGACUACCAAAGGUGGAAUUCAACGUCUCCCAUCUGAUUUCCUCAUUGCUCAAGCUACUUAUUUUGGGAAGGCCAUGAGUGAGGACGCCUUUGAGGCCAUAUUUGUACUUCUCAUAUAUGGGCUGGUGUUAUUCCCCAACAUCGACAAUUUUGUGGAUGUGAACGCCAUUAGGAUUUUCUCUACUCUUAAUCCCGUUCCUACUCUGUUGGGUGACACUCCUUUGCAUAUGAGGAAUGCAAAGGGUGGUGGUACCAUUGUGUGUUGUUUGCCUCUGUUGUACAAGUGGUUUAUUUCGCACUUGCCACAAACGCUCGCCUUCAAGGAGAACAAAGGAUGUCUACGUGGUCCAGAGACUUAUGUCUGCUCAACUAAUGAUAUAUUGUCUGCUAUAAACCGUGUAUUGAAUGGUGUGUAAAUAUGACUCUUGUGGUGAAUUUCCACUGGUGCCUCUUCUUGGUACAUGUGGUGGGAUUAACUACAACCCUAUUUUGGCACGUCGUCAGCUUGGGUUCCCCUUAAAGGAUAAACCUAAUAACAUUUUGUUAGAGGGUGUGUUCUUUCAAGAGGGUAAAGAUCCACAAAACUUGAAGGGCAAGAUGGUCCGCGCUUGGCGCAAGAUUCAUAGGAAGGGAAGGAAAGAGCUUGGUCCGAAGAAUUGUAUUGCUUUGGAACCCUACACCUCGUGGGUGAGGAGGAGAACUUCUGAGUACCGCAUGCCCUAUGAUUACCCGAGACCUACACCUAUGGUUAUGAUUGGGCAUUCAACCCUCCCUAACCAAGGAGUAGAGGAGUUGAGAGAUGAAGACCGUUCGCGUGCUUGGGUCCGUGAGCGAGAGGAGCUACUUCAGCAGCUCAGAGAUAAGGAUGCUUUGAUAGAAUUCUUGGAGCAUCAGGUUAUCGACGAGCCUGGUGAUGUGGUUACUUCUCUUCUUCCUCAGUCAUCCAGGUUUUGGAAGAGGAAGUAUGAUCGGCUCGCCAAGGAGAAGGCAGAUAUGGAGGCAGCCUAUGAGAGAGAGGUGAAGAGGCUUCGUGCAGCUUAUCUUCCAGUCUCGAGAGCUUUGGACGAUUGUUUCUAGGGUUCCAUAGGAUGUUCAUUUUUGGUUACCAUAAGAUGUACUUCUUUGGUGUAAAUUUUUUUCAGAUGUUUAUUGAAUAUGAUUAUUCCAAAAAUAUAUAUCUAAAUGUGAUUAAUAUUUUCAUAAAUAUUCGCAAAUGAAUCUCUAAAGUUCCUCUGAUUAAAAAUAAAAUCAUAUGCACAAGCAUUGCAUGCAUCAUGUGCAUAAGCAGGUUUUGUUCCAGGCUUCUUGAUCAGUGGUCUAACUCUGUGUUCUUCAUUUAUUUUGAAGGCAAGUUGACGCACCAGUACUAUACCAGAGCCAACUCAUCAAAGCUAAUGGAUCACUUCGAGCAAGAGAACAGAGAACUCAAGGAGGAAGUGGCAAGAUUGACUGCCCUGAUGGAGUCAUUCUUGGUCGCCCAAAGCCAGUCUUCUCCAACGCCUUCAACUCCUCCCCAGAGGACGGUCAUUUCAGAGGUUGCUUCCUCUACCGUGCAUGCUGCCAGUGCUCACUUUGCUCCGUCUGCUAUGCCAGCCGAGUUUCCCUAGGGGAUGCCCUCUAAUUUUGUUCUAGAGGGUCUCGCCCCUACAUUUGUUUCUCUGCCGACAUCUAGCCCGGUCCUUGCUGUGCCACCUCCAGUUGUGCAUACUUUGCCGAGAGUUGAUGACACCAUUUAUCACUCUGAGCCGUCUGUGGGCCCAGACGUGUACGAGAAAAUGGACGCUAUGAAUGAUCAAUUCCUUGAGCUGCGCAAGGAACUUAAAACUCUAAGAGGGAAGGACCUCUUCGGCAAAUCUGCUGCUGAGUUGUGCCUCGUGCCAAAUGUCAAGAUUCCUAUCAAAUUCAAAGUACCUGACUUUGAAAAGUACAAAGGAAACACUUGCCCGCUCAACCAUCUUGUGAUGUACGCACGCAAGAUGUCGACUCAAACCGACAACGAUCAACUCCUCAUCCACUACUUCCAGGACAGCCUGUCCGGUGCCGCAUUGAGAUGGUACAUGGGUCUGGAUAGUGUGAACAUCCGCUCCUUCAACGACCUUGGUGAAGCUUUCAUCAAGUAGUACAAGUACAACAUUGAUAUGGCUCCCGAUAGGGACCAACUGAGGGCUAUAUCCCAGAAGGAGAAAGAAACAUUCAAGGAGUACGCCCAGAGGUGGCGUGAAUUGGCUGCACAAAUUGUUCCCUCGCUCGAAUAGAAAGAAAUGACGAAGAUUUUUCUCAAGACUUUAAGCUCUUUCUACUACGAGCGGAUGAUCGCUAGCGCUCCCUCUGACUUCGCCGAGAUGGUGAACAUGGGGAUGCGACUAGAAGAAGGAGUCAAGGAAGGGCGCCUGACCAGAGAAGAAGGCUCUUCUGCCAAACGUUAUGGGGCGUUUGCCAAGAAGAAAGAUGGAGAGGCACAUGCUGUGUCCUCCCAUGUUAAACAAAGAAGACCCUCUGUGAAGAGGAAGACUGUGCGCCCGGCCAGUAACCAGCAUCAGGUGGCUCAUAUAGCACCUGCAUUCAGAGAAAACCAACAUUAUCAGCAUCAGAAACAGCAACAGCAACAUCAACAAUAUCAACAACAACAGCAUCGUCCGUAACAGCAGGCCUACCAGUCUCGAAACAACAAUCAAACCAGCACUAGCUAUGAUAGGAAGAUGGGCACUUUUGAUCCAAUUCCAAUGACUUAUGUAGAGCUAUAUCCUUCACUGAUUGAAAGGAAGCUGAUUACUCCACGUGACCCACCUGCUAUACCAACCAACCCUCAGUGGUGGUACAAGCUUGAGCUUCACUAUGUUUAUCAUUCCGAUGCUCCCGGACAUUAUAUGGAGAACUGUUACCCUCUCAAGACCAAGGUUCAAGACCUUGUUAGAAGCGGUAUUUUGUUUUUCGAGGACGUAGGUCCUAAUGUUAAGAAGAACCCAUUGCCCGAGCAUGGGAAAUCUGCUGUUAACAUGGUUCAGGGUUGCCCUGGCAAGUACAAGGUCAGAUAUGUCUGCCAUAUCAGACAAUCUUUGGUCGAGAUGCAUAGACUGUUAUGUGGAUACAGUCACUACGAGCAUGACCAUGACAGUUGCCGUGUAUGCACUGUCAAUGAGAGAGGAUGUCGCCAAGUUAGGAAAGACAUCCAAGAAAUGCUGGAUCAGGGUGUGAUCGAGAUACUUCAGAAUCGUGAUGAGGACGAAGUUAAUGUUAUAUCCCCUAUAUUCAGAAUACUUGAGUCUGUUGUUGUCAGAUAUGAUGGCAACAAGCAGAAGGCAUCUCCUACUCUUAUUAUUAAGCCAGGUGGCCUUGUUCCAUACUCUUCAAACAAGGUUGUUCCCUAUCGAUAUAAUGCAGUUGCAUUAGAAGAUGGGAAGGAGGUGCCUCUACCCUCUACUUCUGUUACAAGUAUCUCUGAUGUCAGUGGUUUGACCCGCAGUGGUCGUGUUUUUUCGGCGCUGCCGAAACCCCAAGUUGACACCAGAAGGACUGAUGUUGUUGAUAAUGUCGCCCAUCCUGUAGGGACUUCUUCUACUUCUCCGAAACGGCACUUGAUGUUGACAGACCUGCCGCUGUUGUUAGAGCUCAUGUCUCUGCUGGCCAGAAUGGCAUGUUGAAAGGGGACUGUGAUGAGAUGCUGAGGCUCAUCAAGAGGAGCGAAUAUAAUGUUGUAGAUCAGCUGCUACAAACUCCAUCAAAGAUAUCUAUGAUGUCUUUGUUGAUAAACUCCGAGCCACACCGCGAAGCUUUGCAGAGGGUGUUGGACGUAGCAUACGUGGAUCACGAUGUCAUAAUAGAACAGUUUGAUAGCAUUGUUGCAAACAUUACUGCUUGUAACAACUUGAGCUUCUGCGAUGCUGAUCUUCCCGAGGAGGGAAAAGACCAUAAUUUGGCACUACACAUCUCUAUGAACUGCAAGGAUGAUGCCUUGUCUAAUGUGCUGGUAGACACAGGAUCAUCGUUGAAGGUGUUGCCAAAAUCCACUCUGGCGAAACUUUCUUACCAGGGGCCUCCCAUGAGGCAGAGUGGAGUGGUAGUCAAGGUUUUUGAUGGAUCCAGAAAGACAGUGAUUGGCGAGGUUAACUCCCAAUCAAGAUAGGACCUAGUGAUUUCCAUAUCACUUUUCAGGUCAUGGAUAUCCACCCAUCAUAUAGCCGCUUGCUAGGCAGACCAUGGAUUCACGAGGCAGGCGCCGUGACAUCUGUAACACCCCUUUUUCUACCCCAAAAUACUUAACAUAUAAUCAGAGUAAAUAAGCACGCAUAUAAACAAAAGGGCGUCACAUCGACGUUUUCAAAAACUAAGAGCUUUCAAAAACCAACAUCAUAUUUUUCUACCCCAAAAUACUUAACAUAUAAUCAGAGUAAAUAAGCACGCAUAUAAACAAAAGGGCGUCACAUCGACGUUUUCAAAAACUAAGAGCUUUCAAAAACCAACAUCAUUCAUCAUCAAUAUUCAAUACACCUGGUCAUUUAAAAUAACACAUUUCAAUUAUCAUGAAUAUUCAAGCAUAUGCGUUCGCAACGGAAAAUAACGAAUAUCCAUGCAUUUCAUCAAAUGAUCCAUAUCCCAUACCAUGAUCAUCUCUCAAUAAUCUCUUCAAUUAAACAUGUUCACAAUUAAUAACAUAAAACGUAUCCAAAUCAGAUAUGAGUUCCAUACUACCAAUCUAUCCAGUGUUACAUGACCAGAGCAUUGACUCACUACUUAGUCUCUAAACGAAGUACCGCAGCUCUCCAGCUAAUCUCGAGUGAGCUAUCGUCCACUUACUUCAACGAUACUACUCCUGAGUAUCUGCGCGAUACCCAUGUAAAGGUAACAUUCAAACAGAAAGGGUGAGAAUUCAAAUCAUUAUGAAGAAGUAUAAUCAGCACAUGAUAAAUUCAACCAAUUAAAGGAAUUCGUCACACUUAUAUAACCAGUAAAUAAAUUAAACACACAUUUAUUUCACAUGGUCAAGCACACAUAAAACUCAGAGUAAAUACAAAUCCAAUAGAUAUUCCAAAAAAUACACAUAACGACAACGUUCACAUAAUCACAUAAUUGCCAAUUAUACCAAAACAUCACCAAAUUCAAUUACCAAAUCGCAACAGCAAACAUCAGAGCGAACACAACAAGGCAAAAUUCAACUACACAUGACCUAAUUGACUCAAGCAACAGUGACCAACAUGUGGUGUACACUCAAAUUGCACCUCCCAUUGUACAUCAUUUCAAUUAUAGGUAUUAACAUGCAUUCACAGCAUCAGCCAUUGGCAUCGCACCAGCAGGACUAGCCAUCAGGAGAAGUAACUGUGCGACGAGAUCAAGGUUUCCAUGAGACCAAAGCCCUACUGGUGGUCCAAUGACUGAUGUAACCCAAGGUCAUUUGAUGCAAUGGCCAAUGUUGAAGCUCAAAGGACACAUGGGGUUUAGGCAUACUGGGCCCAUAAAAGUCAACCAAAGGCAAGUGAGCUGAGCGGGAUAAUGGUGAGACACUUCUCCGUCAGUCAAAGAAGGCAUUCAUACAAACGGUCGGAAAAGAAAACUCGUCUUCUUCGAAUUACAUCUUGGAAAGUCACAUGGUUGAGAUCUGUGACUACGGAAAAGAUGAUGGGUGUGGACAAUUUAACUGUUGCAUGAGCCCAAAAUUCAUUCUUUUGUUAAGCCCAUAAUUUUAGCAUUAACCAACUUUCAAAUUCAUUCAAACAUCCACAAUAACCAAUUUGUCCAAUUGCAUCUGAAGACCAUCAAAGGCCCAUAACGCAGGUUCCAAAAGAUCCAUUAUGAUCCAAAUCAUAAAGCCAUAAUCCAUUUAGUUGAUUUAACACAAUCAAACCAUGACCAUUUAUAUACCAUCACCAUUGACUGGUUUAACCAAUGUCCAACUUUUGAAUCCAAAACACAAAACCAAACUACCAAUGAUUCUCAAUCCAAUUGUCAUUCAUUAGAUUCAUAUCUCCCAAUAUCCAUGUAACCCAUAUCAUUUCUUUACUCACACAACCAAUUAAUCCAUAAAAGCAAUUAUCCAUCCUUUUAUGCAUCACACUCUUUCUGAUUCAACCAAAAAAAGAAGCAACGUAGCUACAAUGAAAACAAAUGUCAGUACACGCGAGCUGCAAGCAACAAUGAAAACGCACAAGCAAAAGAAGGGAGCCCAUCACCAACCGACAAAACCAACACAGUACAACAGGACCAUUCGCCAAACCGAACAACCGCCCAAAAAAACUCACAUCCAGAACAAUCUAGACAAACUUUCCAGAUGUUCUCCAACGAACCGUCGCAUCACCAUCAAUGCAAUUCCUCUUCCUAAACACACCCGCAAAUAACAAUCCAAUAACAGAAAAAUCAGUACAUCACCCAUAAAUAAUCUCUUCCAUCUCAGCUCGCUCCGACAUCCUCAUCGCACCCUAAACAAACCCUCACCAAUACAACAACCCAACAAAAUUGGUUUGCUAGCAUCAGUCCCAACAAUUUUCAAGAAUCGAGAAGCAAUAAAAACGAAAAGAGAAAGAAAACUAACAGAAAAAUUCACAAUCGGAAGGAAUUCUGAAACAUUUCACAAUCACGAUCUGGAAUCGUCUUCAACCAAUCCUUCAGCCUCAACCCUCAACCAACCUCUCUUCCAACCCAACAACCACCUCCAAACUCUAACAACUUCACAAUCCAAAUCUUCAACAACCGUAACCAACUCAUAAAACCAGCCACCACUUCAACCUCCUCUUCCCAACCGAGAUUCCUUCAAUCUCAACCGCUCGCCACCGCAAUAAUCACCCCACUCUCAUCUCAGAACGAUAACAGGAUUGCAGGAAUUAUUUACAACGCACAGCAACGGAAGAGUUCGAGAAGGGAGAAGAAAGGAUCAAGCGAGAUCAAAGCGGAAAUACGCGGUACCUGAUAGACUGGUGAGAUUUCAAUUUGUCGUUUAUUUUCUUCUGUUUAAACCGGUGGAAGCAGAGGUUCGACGCCGUGAAUCGGUGUUGCUCUAUUCGAUGCGCCGUGAUUUGGGGAAGGUGAAGUUUCUCACAUGCAGAGACGGAAAGAUCUAUGUAGUUACAGCACUGAGAUUUGGGGACUCGCCGUCUCGUCCUUGCUCCGCCGUUUCUACCGCCGUCGUCGGUGGCGAGAACCGACGCGGUUAGGUUCUUCGCCGCGAUACUAUCUUUUUUUUUCUUCUGGAUAUGCUGAGGCGUAGAAAUGUGAGGAAGAUGAAUUUUGUGUUCCAACUGUUUGUUUGGUUUUCAAUUAGUAUAUAUUUAGGUUAAUUAAGUUUGUAACUAGCGUAAUUAGAGGGUUAGGUGUUAUUUAGAAUAAUUAGUAAUAAGUAGGAUUGAUAGGAUAUAGUUAGAGUAAUG